This 224-nucleotide long non-coding RNA is filed under the name Elaeis guineensis (African oil palm). RNAcentral describes it as "long non-coding RNA (EGUI_LNC029453)". The record is from RNAcentral. Lineage: Eukaryota; Viridiplantae; Streptophyta; Magnoliopsida; Arecales; Arecaceae.
CAGGUACAUUGGACUCUAGAUCUGAUCUAAUCAAAUCCGACUCAGGUUCAACUAUUGGUGUCGGUCCUUCUACCUGUUGAACUUCAUCAAGUUCAACCUUAGAGGCAACGAUUCCUUCACCAAAGAACUUCUUUUCUAAAAUGAUUGCUUUAAGGCUGACGAACACCUUUUGUUCAUCAGCAUGGUAGAAAAAAUAUCCUUUGGUCUCUUUGGAAUACCCAAUG